CCGGCGAGAGUAAAGAGUCACUACCCAGGCUCUUGAAGACAGUGCCACCUCCGCCACUGUGACACUCUCAUCUGUGUUCUCCCUUUCCUGCCCUCACGCCUCGCCCUUCUCUCUUAUAUGCGCUCACGUAUCUUCUUCGUGUUUCCGGCUUUUGGGUAGCCCCCAGAUGGAGUAACUGCCCCGCCUGGACCCCCGCUGAAGAGGGUGGGGGUCCAGGGCUUAUGGUCUUCGCCUCUACAUCCCCACAAGCGGGGCCACCUGAGGCAAGAUGGCACACCAGCUGGAGCAGCUGUUGACCUGUUGCAUUUGUCUCGACCGCUUCCGGAACCCCAAGCUGCUACCAUGUCAGCAUUCGGUGUGCAUGGAGCCCUGCAUGGAGGGCCUCGUCGACUACGUCCGUCGACAGGUGAAGUGUCCCGAGUGCCGUGCCGAGCACCGCAUUCCUUACAAUGGGGUGCAGGGCUUCCCCUCUAAUGUCACCCUCCAGAGGUUCCUUGAGGCCCACAUAGAGAUCACGGGCGAGACACCAGACCCUCACACAGGCCAGUAUAUGGAAAGGUGUAAUGUGUGCAAUGAAAAGAACUACCUCUCCAUCUGUGCUCAUUGUGAGAAGAAAAUAUGUGAAGAUUGCAAGGCAGCACAUUCAGAUAUACUGAAACGAGAGAUUGGACGCAUCAACAAUCAGGUGAAGCGUGCGGCCCACCGACUCAAUGACCAGCUGACUGGAGUGGAACGUAACAUUGUGUCGCUGAAGCAGAACACCAACAGUUGUAUUGAAGAGAUUGAAAACAUCUCCAAGCGUCUGCAAAAGUCAGUCAAAGACAGGUGUGCAUUCCUCAAAUCUGAGGUUGAGAACUAUCACAGUAGUGAACUCAAGAACUUGAACACUUUAAAAGAAAGCCUUGAUCAAGAAGUUUCCAACAUCAAUGCCAACAUUGACCUGGCAGAGAAACACAUGGAUGACAACACACCCUGGGAUGAUGCUGAACUCAUGGACACCAAAGACAUCUUUCUCAAAACAAUGGAAUUCAUACGAAGCUUUGAUUACGAGGCAGGAGACUACAGCAGGAGGGCAAGAUUUAAUCCUCCAGAUGAUUUAAACAAGCUGGUGUCAAGCCUGAGCUCCCUUGGAGAUCUGAGCUUCAGUUCCUCCAGCAAAAAUGAUGGAUAUGGCCUGGGACCCUCCCUUGGCUCAGGCCUCAUGAAGAGUAAGAGUGAUCACCGCUUGGCAGCUCAAUUCAGGGACCAGGAAGACACCUAUGGCUACUCAGGCAGGACCUCACCACUCAUGCGCAGACGCUUCGGGGAAAGGAAUGUAGAGAGGCACGACGAGGAUUCCCCGAUUGACUCUGGGCGGCGGCGCUUCCGGUCCAGGUUCAUGCGAAAAGAGGAAGACGAAGACCGUUCAGUGCGCUUCGCCGAAGAGGAUGGACCUAAGCGGCAGAGAGUAUUCGACACCGAGGACGUCUCGCGUGGCCCACUCUCUGGCAUUGUCCGGCUCUUCGAUUCACCGCGCGUUAUGAAACGCCUCCAGGAGCGAGACCAAAUGAAGAACAAGAAAAAGGAGGAGCCACCUCCUAAACCUGCACAGCCCACCCUACCCAAGCCACCUGUGACCCCACUGCAGCGCAAGACCACACGCCAGACUAGUGAAGAUGAGAUUGACAAAAUUAAAAAGCAGAACAAGUCAGAAGCAUCAUCUUCAGGGGGAGCAACAGCUGUCACACCUCCAGUUAGUAGCUCCAGCAUUUCUAGCACUACAGCCUCCAGGCCUGCAGGGGAGCGUGUCUCUUCCAUCAGAGAGGAUGAACGUCAAAGUCGCAGUGAUCGCACUUCCACCUCCCCAAGGUCAUCUGCUAACCACUCCCCAACAUCCUCCGUUACGAGGGAAGAUGAGUCCACACGCCGUCGAGGUGAAAGUAGUAGUGUUUUGGGAGCUGGCUCAGCAUCCAGCCGCACUGCACCAUCCCGCAAAACCAGUGUGGACACUGGUGUGACUAGCGUGACACAGCGUUCAUACCCAUUUAGCCGCUCAUCAUCUAAUUCUUCUGUGGGUGACAAGGAUAAGAAUACAAGUGGUAACCGUACUCCACGUCAACUAGACACAGCAUCCAUUGAGCGCCGUCUGUCCCGCUCCAAUAGCACAGACAGCAACAAGUCUACAGAGGGAGCUACGUCCCCAAAGAAACCCACAGGUGCAGCAUUUUCCACGGAGGAGCUAAAAAAUCGGUUCUCAAGGCAGGACUCGCGACCAUCCACCUCCAAGGCUGAGCCAACUCGGUCAGGAACAUCAGGUGGUGCAUCACGUUUCCAGUCACGUUUUUUAGGCCGAGCCGGUACUCCUUCAGUAGAGGCCUCGAAGGAAUCAGAGAAUGAUGAUGAUGAUGAAACCACAGAUGAUUCCGAGUCUGAAGAGAGUGAGGAGACAUCUGAAGAGGACGACGAUGAUGAAGAGGAGGAGGAGGAGGAGGAGGAAGAGGAAAAGAAGACCACCACAACAGAACACUCUCGUCCAGACAUUGGGCCCUUACUGGGGAGGAGUGCCCAGUCUCGCGAUGUAGGCACUAGCAGUAGUACUAGUUCACGAUGGGGUGAUAGGAGCUCCUACCCACCAGCAUCAUCCAGUAGUGGUGAGUCUGGAUAUAGUAGCAGCAACAGAUAUGGCAGUAGCAGUGAUAACAGUAAUGGCAGCAGCACCAGUAGUAGCCGCUAUGGUGCCACCAGCAGCCUAAGCAAUGAUUCUGGAGCUAGUGCAACUAGCCACCGCCGACCCUCCUAUGUAGAGACAAAGUCUUCAGCCAAAGACAAGGAGGAAGACUUUGAGUCCAAGUACCCUUACUCCAGCAAGUACCUGAACCGCUCCAGGGCCAAUGUGCCUGAAGAAGAUUCCAAACCCAAUUUUCAUAGUCGUUUUCUCAACCGUUCCAAGAGCUCUGCUGUUCUUGGUCCUGUUGAUGACAGUGCAGAUGACUCCUCAUCCAGCACAACACAUGGGGCUAGUCGUGCUCGCUUUGAAGAACUAAAGGAACGACGGCAACGACUAGCACGGAGCAGAAGUUCAGCAGGUCUAGAGGAUGAAGACAGUGCAACAGCAGACACAUCUACUACCUCCACAGCCACCAACAAUUACCGCACUCGUUAUGGCAGAGACACUGCUUCGCCUUCAUCACGCUCUGGAGGUAGUGUAUCAACGUCAUCCACCACAGCCAGUAGUGGUACUAAUAGUGGUGGUGGUGGCGGUGGUGGUGAAGAAGGCUCAUCUUCUACUCAACUCUCCAAUUGGGCCCGCUACCUUAAGAAUAAGUAUGGAAACAGGAGCAACGCCAGUGGAGACACCAAUACACGAAGCACCUUGGGUAGCAGUGGGCUGGGCAGCAGCAGUAAUAGUAGCACUAGCAACAGCAGCACCACCAGCAGCUCACUCCUGGGCAGCAGUCGUGCAGGUGGCAGACCCAUCUCCCGGUCCCGCUCCUCACACCUUCUUGGUCUCGCCAAAGAGGGAGAAUCUUCAGAAGAUGAUUCAAAAAACGUGCGCGCUACCCCUACUUCCCCGCCAGCAGGUACGGUGGUUCCUACUCCAUUCGGAAAUAUCCAUAGGAGCCAGUACAUGCAGAAGCAACGCCUCUUACUUAAGAUCGGGAGUAGGGGUAGUGAACCAGGAAGCUUUACAUGGCCAAGAGGCAUUGCUGUUGGGCCUGACAACAGCAUUGUGGUUGCAGAUUCAAGCAAUCAUCGAGUGCAGGUGUUUGACCAACAAGGCAAAUUCAUUAAAGAAUUUGGUGCUUAUGGCAGUGCAGAGGGCGAGUUUGAUUGCCUGGCAGGUGUAGCUGUCAACAGGAUUGGUCAAUUCAUCAUUGCUGAUCGUUACAAUCACAGGAUCCAGAUCUUCGACCCUUCAGGCAACUUCUUACGAUCCUUCGGCAGUCAGGGUGGUGGCGACGGACGGUUCUCCUACCCAUGGGGGAUAACCACUGAUGCACUUGGGUUCAUCUAUGUGUGUGACAAGGAGAACCACCGUGUACAGGUGUUCCAGUCAGAUGGCUCCUUUGUGGGCAAGUUUGGCUCAAUGGGAAAUAAGCCUGGUCAGCUUGAACACCCACACUACAUUGCAGUCUCAUCCACUAACAGAGUAAUUGUCUCAGAUUCCAACAAUCACCGUAUCCAGAUCUUUGACAUCAAUGGCAAGGUCACAACCACCUUUGGGUCAGAAGGCAGUGAUGAGGGGCAGUUUAAAUUCCCAAGGGGUGUGGCAGUGGAUGACCAAGGAUACAUCUUUGUGGCGGACAGUGGUAACAAUCGUAUCCAAAUUUUCCACCCUGAUGGAACCUUUCUGAGGGCCUUUGGAUGCUGGGGGUCUGGUGAAGGAGAGUUCAAAGGUCUGGAGGGUGUGGCUGUCAUGUCAAAUGGCAACAUCCUUGUAUGUGACCGUGAGAACCACCGUGUCCAGGUCUUUUAAAACAGCUUGUGUGAUUUAGUGUUUUAUGGAAUAAAACUGCCUGACAGAUGACUGAGGCUGCAUGUCCAGAAAUCAUGAGUUGGCCUCAUCUCCCACACAACAAGUACUGCUCCAUGUGACAAAGGUUCAGAUCACACCAUGGUGAAAACAGUAUGGCCCCAGUUGAGUGUUUUAGUAUCCUAUGGCAGAUGACCAGUUGCUGCCACAGCACCCCAUAAGGAUGAACUGCUGCUGCAGAUCAGUUAACUUGAAAAAGUGAUGAAAGGUUGCUGUCAACUUCUUUCUGGAACUUGCCUUGUGUUAAAUUUCUGAUCUAGUCGGGUUAAGCGGAUUUUCUCUGUUAAUUCGCUCAUAACCUCUGGGAAUAUUCAUUCUCUAAUGGUUUGGGCUGUGUGGAGGGUGGGACUACUUGCUCCACACGCACGCGCACACACAGGCCUCAAACUUGUGAUUACUAAGUUACAGUGAUUACCAAGUUACAGAGCAUGGUUUUUUUUUUCCAUUUGGUUUAAAUAGGUAUUAAUAUGUUUGUAAAUAUGAUUUUUUAUGAAUAUAUGGCAGCAUUAGUGUUGAAGUGUAGAGCGUCUGCAAACUUGAAAAAAGAUUCAUGUUAGUAAUGAGACUAAAUUCAGUGUGAAACCUAGUCACUUGUGUCUCCUGUAGUACAUUUUUUUGGUUUGAAGCUGUCAAGGUUACCAAACAGCGAGUGAGCCACAAAGCUUCACUCAGCCAGUAACUACCAAGUUAUAGUGUUACCAAUACUUGGUAACACUAGUCCCUUGUUAAAAACACUAUUCUUAAUCCUUGUGUACAUGCAUGUAUCAGUUUGAUUGACUGAUCAUGUUGCUAGUGUGUGGCAGCAUCUUCAGUUUACAAUGAGCCACAGGAAGUUUCACUCUACUGUGUUGAUGGUCAGAAAAAAAGGAUGAAACUUUCAAUUUAAGAGUUAAGAAACUUCAGUGUAAUUACUUCUCAAAGUAAUCUAUAUAUCAGUGUUGGAUACAUAUCGUUGUUUGUAGCUGAAUACUAUUUUUUAUUUAUUUGGAGCAAUGAAGUGAAUUAUUACACAAGUAGUAGACUGUAACAAUAAAACACUUUAGAGGACACACACACACAACACACACACACACUAGCAAACCUUGAGGGAGGUGAAUUGUGAGUCUUGUGAAUGUUUCUGUUCAGCUUUGUGCUCUGCAGGUUGUAGAAGAGGCUGGGAACUACAUUUUGUGACACUCUUGCUUCUACUCUUGUACUGUAUUUUGUCAAUUAAAAAUUAAUUAAU
RNAcentral lists this unclassified non-coding RNA (5738 nucleotides) under Portunus trituberculatus (swimming crab). Its description in RNAcentral is "rING finger protein nhl-1-like, transcript variant X7". The record is from RNAcentral. Lineage: Eukaryota; Metazoa; Arthropoda; Malacostraca; Decapoda; Portunidae.